UACGGGGGGGGCAAGCGUUGUUCGGAAUUACUGGGCGUAAAGGGCGCGUAGGCGGUUUGUUAAGUUGGAUGUGAAAACUCUGGGCUUAACCCAGAGCCUGCAUCCAAAACUAGCAGGCUAGAGUUCUGGAGGGGAUAGCGGAAUUCCUGGUGUAGCGGUGAAAUGCGUAGAUAUCAGGAGGAACACCGGUGGCGAAGGCGGCUAUCUGGACAGAAACUGACGCUGAGGCGCGAAAGCUAGGGGAGCAAACAGG
RNAcentral lists this ribosomal RNA (253 nucleotides) under uncultured bacterium. RNAcentral describes it as "partial 16S ribosomal RNA". It matches the Rfam family "Bacterial small subunit ribosomal RNA", at positions 524 to 776 of the family's 1533-position model. The record is from RNAcentral.